AGAACGAACGCUGGCGGCAGGCCUAACACAUGCAAGUCGAACGCCCCGCAAGGGGAGUGGCAGACGGGUGAGUAACGCGUGGGAACGUGCCCUAAGGUACGGAACAACUCCGGGAAACUGGAGCUAAUACCGUAUGUGCCCGAGAGGGGAAAGAUUUAUCGCCUUGGGAUCGGCCCGCGUCUGAUUAGCUAGUUGGUAGGGUAACGGCCUACCAAGGCUACGAUCAGUAGCUGGUCUGAGAGGAUGACCAGCCACACUGGGACUGAGACACGGCCCAGACUCCUACGGGAGGCAGCAGUGGGGAAUAUUGGACAAUGGGCGAAAGCCUGAUCCAGCCAUGCCGCGUGAGUGAUGAAGGCCUUAGGGUUGUAAAGCUCUUUCGGUGGGGACAUAAUGACGGUACCCGCAGAAGAGCCCCGGCUAACUUCGUGCCAGCAGCCGC
Molecule: ribosomal RNA, 442 nt
Filed under: uncultured bacterium
Lineage: Bacteria
Description: SSU rRNA
Rfam family: Bacterial small subunit ribosomal RNA
Source: RNAcentral